AAUAAGUGCAAUUCUGUAUUAUUCAUGUCCAACGUUUAAUCAUUAGUUUUAUUUGAAAAUUUUUAUGAUUAAUACUUUUGUUGUUAUUAGAUGAUAAAACAUGAAUAAUACUUUAUAUAUGACUAUUUUUUUUAAUUUUUUUAUAAACUUUUUAAAUAAGACGGAUGGUUAAACGUUGUACAUGGAUAUCCACAGGUGCAUAUUUA
This is a non-coding RNA of Oryza glaberrima (African rice), 206 nucleotides long. The record is from Rfam. NCBI's taxonomy places the organism in Eukaryota, Viridiplantae, Streptophyta, Magnoliopsida, Poales, Poaceae.